CCACAGUUUGAUUUGGAACAUACAGGACAAUUUAUUGAAGUCAAUCUCAAGCAAAAUCUGAAGUCAGUGGAAUGUCAUUAAGAACCUUUCCAAAUUAAUCCUCAUGGAAGCAAAAAACACAUCUGAAUUCCAAAGUAUUUGUAAAAUAAAAAAAGGCAACAUCUCAGUAAAUAUAAUGUACAAAAAUUUAUGUUCCUACCAGCACACACAGUAGUAAGAAGCUUAAAAUUCCAGGCAAUCCUAAAUAUACUAUAACUAGUCAACAAUAAGCUAUCUAUAUACAGGUUAACCAAGCUUUACACGUUUCACACUAUGCAGUAAAACAUAGGCCAUUCAACAAAACCCCCAAAAUAUCAUAUAUCUUGAAGUCUAUGUGGCAACAUCAAGUCAUUAUACAGUAAUGCCCUAGUGGAACGCCCCCCAGGGAAAAUGAACACUAAUCCCUUAGUGUCAAGAGCUUCUAGCCAACUCACAGAAACUCAAAAGAGAUUGACUUUAGUGAAUAUUGAUCCUUUGUUAUUAAAGACUCAAGUCUCAAGUGAUUUAGGCAAAAUAACAUUUCACAGGAUCUACAAAUUUAUUACAGAUAAACAAAGUACAGAAAUAACCAAUCUACAAAGGUCAUUAUCAUAGAUAAAGAUCACAAGAAAAAGAAAACAAUCUGUAGGUAUCUGUGUUUGCUGUGCAAUAUCACAAGUGGUUACAAAUGAAUUUCUCCUAUCAAUUCCAAUUAUGCACACACCCUUGUAUAGAAAAAGGAUCUUAUUUAGCCAGUUGUAAGCAUCAUUUAGUAUCAAUCAUCAUUUAGCAUCUUGGUCAUCGGAGGCAAUGUGAUUUUCUUUUUUAACAGAGGGUAUGUGACAGCACAAAUGAGAUAAAGAGCAGUAUUAAUAACAACAGAGUAAAAAGUAAAUUGUAUCCAGUCCACUCCUAACCUGACAAGAACACCUCAUACAUACCUCGUCUCGGUGAUCUGAUGGACAUUGCGCGCCCCGCGUGCAUACGUCAAGGUCUGUGGCAGGUGGGCGGGGGCGGCACCUGAGGGGGCUUGCCUGCCAACUCGCAGAUCCGGAGGGUCACAUAAGAAAACUAAGGACUGAAUAAAUGACUUUGGCAACUGUUCAUCUUUUUCACUUUUUCUUACAUGUAACUGACUUUCACAGGCUACAGAAGGGCAGGCUGCUCUCCUCCUCCCCACCAUACACACAUCUGUGCCACAAGCACCUGAACUUGUCACUUAAGCAAUGGACUGACGGAGAAAAGAACGGAAAUGGUUUCUGAAACACACACAGACGACAGCCUGCGUUUCAGGAGUAUAACGUAAGUGCAAAUUUUUGUUUUUUCCCCUACACAGGCGUAUGUAUUAAAAGAAAAGAAGAGCUGCACACGGAUGGGGUUGACCAAAAUACAAGAGAAAGAACACACAUGGCAAAUACUCAUAAAAAUGCUGGUAUUUCAUGCAAGAGUCUCUUCCUCGAAUGUAUACAUGAAAUCUGAGCUAUCUGCUGUGGACACUCCAUCCCACUCGCAGAACUUUGCCUUUAAUGCAAGUUGAAGAGGACAAGAGACUAGGCUAUUUGUUUUCAAAACAGUAUACAAAACAAUGCUUUCUACUUCAUAAAUUUAAAAAUAACUGUAAAAUAAGGGGAAUCUGAAGAGUUUCAAGUACUUAAAAAACCUGAAUUCAAUGAGGCAGAGGUCUCAAUGUUAAAGUGACUACUUCGUACCUGUGGUAAACGUUGUCAUUCCCCCUCCCUCACCCUGUUCUAACCCCCUUUUCUUCCUGUACCCCGCCCCGGGGAAAAGUUGGUAGAUUUCAGUAUGUACACAUUUCCAACUUUUCAAUAUUCGUUAGUACACGGCAAAGCCGUCUAAUCAGAUCUCUCCCUAGCUUCGCUGAAAAUGGAGGCGAGCUCUCCUCUCGGUUUACAGACAACCAGGGAGCAACUGCAAGUGGUCUAGGCCAACGGAAAUCGUUCCAAAUGAUCACUUUGUGUGUGCAGCAACCUGGCCGACUCCGGAAGUCGAAUCUGCUCCACCUGGCAGUAAAGCCUCUUGCCAGCGGCAUCGCACCUCCUCCCGGGUGAGCUUCCCAAGCCCAAAGGGCUCUACCACAACCUGUGUCCUUAUCCUCUCGGGACAUGGCGUGUGGCAGCUCCCUGAUUUCCAGGUGGAUGCUAAAGGAAGCUUUGUACCUAACAAUGAAAUGAAGGACCAGCCAUGAACCUGGGGGGUCCAGUGACGACGCUCUGUAGGGCUGCCCUCUGCCGUCCAGGCCGGCUCUGACCCCGAUUAGAACACAGACUGCGCAGCGAGGCCAAAAGGAAGCUACUUUAUGAGCCAGGAGAGAAACCUGUCCAACAGCCUGCCUGCUCUGAGAGUCUUUUACAUGGUUAUCUCAGAAUUUCAAAACAUUAUUUACAAGCAUGUUUCCAAGUAUUGUGUGGAAAUAGCAGAAGGGAGCUCAGAGCCACACCCCCAUUAUUAUUAUUAUUAUUAUUAUUUUCGUUUUUACAUUUGUUCCUGACUUGAACACACAGAGAGCUCCAAGUUUCAGUGAUUCAAGAAGUCGGCCUAUUCUAUAGCUCAGGCCAGAUCAUUUCAGAGAAUUAAGGUAGAGUAGGAAUUUGUUAAGAUAAAAAUGAAAAUAAAACCCACCUCCCUCCUGACUCUAACCCUGAUUAGAUAUUAAAGAAGAGAAUCACUUCCUCCAGCCGUGCUGGCCUUCCAGAAAUGAGGGGCAGGUGACCGCAACCCUCCUGACCCUGCUACUGGCCACGGGCCAGCCCCUGUCUGCACCGUGCAUGCCGGGAGGGCCCAUUUCCUCUACAGCUGUAACCCAACAGAUUUCUGAAGCUUUAUGCUGAUUAUCAAAAACUUUACAUUCACUUUUUCCAAAGAAGUAAUAUGAGGCUAAAAAACAAACAAAGAAAAACCACCAUUAUCCCAUGAUGCUUUAUCUCAUUUUUGGACAAGAAUAAAACCCAAACCAUUUCUGCUCUGACCACGGAUUUGAAAGUUAACAAAACCAACUACAGACCACAAGAGAGCAACAUGUCCUCUGGCCCACCGGGUUGGUGAGGCGCAGGCAAGCACGGUGCGUGCACACGCUGCGCACGGGAAGCACAGCUUUCUCCCCUGGCUUUCCACUUCCACAGCCUGCAACGUGAAGAUACAAAGAUACGUACAACAAGUCGGUCGUGACGCCACGGAGGUGUGAGGAGAGCUCUGGGCCACUGGCGGGACGAAAGCCUCUUUCUGGACCACUAAAGAGCACUCCUGGAUGAAGCCUCCAGAGCUGUAGUUAGUAGCUAUUUUGUUUUUUACCCUAAUUUCUGAAAUGGCAGAAUGAUCCUGUUAGGUACCCUCCCACCCCCCCCCCCAAAAGAUUUAAAAAUCUCAGCAGAGCCAUUAUGACAAAAUGUGACAUGAUGAGGAAGCUGCAUGAAAAUAUUGAAACCUAAGGUAUUUGUAAGUAUAUGGAUGGACCCUGGCUUACCAUAUAAAAGUCAUCAGAUAUUAAAUAGCACUAAGUCCAAAACAAAGCAAGAAGAGAAGAGUUCAUGUGGGAUACGGUUUCAACAAGAGUUAUAUUUUGAAUGUUAAAAGAAAUCCUUCAUAUUAGUAAGUUUAAAAAAGCAAACAUUUAUCUCAUAUAUAUAUAUAUAUAUAUACACACACAUAUAUAUAUAUAAAAUAAAGUUUUAGUAUGAUAAAACCUAGAUUUUCUUAAAUUAUUUUUUAAAAGGAUAUCAAACUAUAUAGUUGCUCAAGAGCAAAGUUUAGUGUUUUGGUGCGCUGUGCUGCACGUUACUGGUAGCGAUUCGAUCUGGUAACAUGCACAGCAUUUUCCAUUUUGCUCUUUCUCCUGGGACCAUAUCUAAUCAAGAGAAUUCCUGGAGGCUCUAUAAGUUACCUCAGAAUUAAUUGCUGGAAUCAGGCAAAUGGCAGUUUAGGAGCUUAAGUAAAGGAAUUGUAGUGUGAUAUAUUUUUUUUUUUUUGUUUUAUGUUUUUUUUUUUAACAAGAGAAAAUCCAGUUCAAUUGCACAUUUACAUUUAAAAAAAAAAAAGAGAGAGAGAGAGGCACAAAACAGCUAUUUUUUUUCUUUUUUCCAGAGAAGAACUCUAAAUUGAUAAGAAAAAAGGAACACACAGAACUGAAGGAACAUGGCUGAGCAUCUCCCCUCCCUCCCUUCCGAAGGUUCCUAGGUGCUUCUUGAGGGAAAAUAAAUGCCACCAGAGUGAAGACAUCUCUUUUUUCCCCCGCUGCAAAGGCAUGAAGCAUAAUAGAAGGCAAGAGAAGACCAAGGGAAUUUGGCCGGCCACGAAAGAAUCCCCAACCCACAAAACAGAAAAACAGCCCAGGCCACCUGCUUCUGCCCGCGAGUUUCUGGCCCCAGGGCGCAGGGCCACAAGGCGGCGCCCGGGGAAGGGGCUUGCGCAGGGCAGCCGCUUUCUCCUGCCCACGUGCCACCGAGUCACUGGUUUCUUUUCCUUUUUUUUCCAUCUCGAUAAAAAGAAAAAGAAAAUCACCACCCAUUUAUUCUUUCAGUUCUUCUCCAUGAUCUUGUGACUCCAAUUUGCAUUUGAUCUUGCUCCAGUAUUCUGCGGACACAGGAGACUCGGGGUCAUGCUCGGAGCAGCAGAGCCGGCCUUCCAGAGCAGAGGGGACCAGAGCGCCCUCUUCAUGAUCUUUACAAAAUGAGUGUGGGCAGAACUCGCAGAAGGAGACGGCAGCGCGGCUGCACUCCUCGCACUGAUGCCACGGGCAUUCCCACUUUCCUACGGAGGGGUGCGAACAGGGAAAAGAGCCCCAUUAGUGCCCCUCUUGAUUACCCACGAAAAACCCAAGUUUGCACCAUCUGCUGAGACUGGAGACUGAAUUCAAUUAGAACACAACUCCAAAUUCUGCCCAAACUUACGUCUGAGUGUACUAUUGAGAAUGGACGCAGUGCGCAUCCCAAACUCACCGCCAGAGAGAGGAGCCAACUGCUCGCCCAUGGUAACAAGGUCUGAGAAACCAAUCCUCCUGGCCCGCACCUAUCCCACAUUUGCAGACAGACUUUUCACUAGCAUACUUUGUUUCUAGUGUUGGUUGUUCUGUUCAUUAUCCAUCCCAUGGCUCCACUAAGGGGAGCAAAGUACAUUCUAGGUGACACAUCACUGGCCAAGACGCAAGACAGGGAAAGGGUCCCAAAAGGCUCGCUUACCAUAUGGUGGCUGAGUCAGGUUAAGGCAUAAGAGGUGGUAUGCUUUGGGACAGUCUUUUUUGUCACACAUGACCAGCUCUCCACCAUCUCCACAUUGAAAACAGUAGUCUUCAUGCAUCUGCUUUGGUUCUGCUUUGAUUUUUCGCCUCUUCUGCUUUAACUUAGCAUUUUUGGCUUUUUCUUCGGCUGUUGACGCACAUGUCGACUGGCAGGGAGAAGGAGAACACAGCGUGUGAAGCUCUACAUGGAAAGGGAGCUCCCGCAGCCUCACACUCAUCUGAGUUCUCUUAAGCUCUGUAGUUCAGUUACCUAAAAACCAGCAGGAGGACUUCGCCCAUAACAGUAUUGUAAUAAAAAUAAGGCUUCAUUUUCACUGAUUUUUUAAUACGGCGCUUUAUUUUUUUAAAGCAAGGAUUCACAUACCACAGAACUCACCACUUCAAAGUGGCUCAUCCAGUGGUUUUGGGUAUAGUGUGAAUUUUUAAGAAGUUUUUGAAAAGGAUGUUGGUAACUCCAGAUUCAAUGAGAAAUACAAACAUCUCUUCAGAACCUGAUGGAUGCGAACUAAACUGGGGACCCAUUCGCUGGCCUGGGGCACUCGCUCCCUGCACCACUGACCUUGGGCCGCACUCCCAGGAAGCCGCUGCAGUUUUCUGCCCCACAGUGGCAUUCCGUUCUGCCGUUGCCCAGACAAUCCAGGUUAUAAUUAAAUGUUAACUCCAUCCCUAAAGUAAGAGAAAUAAUUACUCAUACUCGAGUCAAAGGGAAGAGACAUGCUGUCACACACGCACUCUCAUAAUGAAAAGACAGACAUAAUUCUGACCCGAAGGCUUUUCUCUCACUCGUGCUCCACACUGAAGAGCGAUGGGGGAGAAACAAUAGAGAAAAACACCCCCAUCCACCAAAUAUUGCAGAAAAAACAGUCUAUAAAAGCUGUCAUAUCCUUCUCAUUGAAGUGGUCAGAAACUAUGUAACUGAGACUAAGAAUUGGAAAUCUGCUCGGGAGAAAAGGGCUCUGCUUUAGCUUGCUUUUCUAAAGUAAUUUACAUGGCUUUCUGAAUGAACAGUAGGGCCGUGGAGUAGCAGCGACCACACGGUCCCUGGUGAUUAAUGCUUUAGAGUGUGCUUGGAGAAGAGCUCACAGUGCGGAUUUACUAGUCACACCAAAGACCCAGGGACUCGAACCGGGUCGUCCAAGCUUGCUGCUGGGCUGGUCCUGAACAGAGUCCCCGGGAUCAGCUACAGCUCUUCCCUGUUCACCCAUUUCUCUAAACCCUGGCAGAGAAGCAGCUAAGUGUUGCUGGUAAGAUGCUGGGCGGCUGAGGGAACAGGGAAGCAGUAACUGCCUUCAGAAGCUUUUUGAGUCUAAUUUGAAACAGACUGAUCUUUCAACUAAAAAACAAACAAACAACCCCCCCCCCCGACACAAACCAAGAAAGCAGCUGAUGUUAACCCAGUAUGUUAAUGCUUUAAAUAAGAGAACAAAAGCUUAAACAUCUGGUUGUAUUGUGCAGACAGCAAUAAUUGGGAGAAGUCAUUCAGGAGGGUCGUGGACGCACAGGAUUCUGUAACAUCCUCUUGGGCAGAAAGGCUCUUGCUCGACUCCCUUUUGCAGGACACAGAUUUUCACUUCUUCGUGGCAGAUAACAAUUCCAAAUGUAACCCCAUCGUACCUGAAUAAAUACUUGAGCAUCAAACCUGGAAGGAUAUUCUGCCCAGAGAGGGGCACAUGGGGAGCAAAUAGCUUUGUUACCUGCAGGAAUAUCACGAAGGGCGAACAGCCCCACUCGAACAUCUCCAUUCACUGUCCACUUCUGUGUUUCACAGUUUGGAUUACAACUGUGGUUCAUAAAGCGAGAAUAAUUUCCUUUGGGGCCAGCAUCAAUUAUACGGUCCUUCAGAAAGAAAAGCAAUGGAGGUAGCUUUGACAUAAAAUCAAGUAGGAGCCUAUCUCAGAAACAUGCAACCCCAGCCCGAGUCUAUGGCAGCUGCCAACUCCCCGAACACAUGCUCUCAGGGCCGGUGACCAAGUUGUCUACUUUAUUUGAUGAGCUUCAAGCCAAGACAAUGAAGAUAAAGUGGAAUUCAGUUUCUAUUUUUUUAAACUGUUUCUAGACACAGAUCAUAGAAAAAUGCUACUUAGAAAAUGCACUGGCCGCGGGGAUGCCAGAGCACAGAGUUCAGCCCGCCGCCUGGGGUGGGAACCACGCUGCUGGCUGCCAGCCCUCCUUUCCUGCAAAACCAGUGCGGGGCUACAUGGACAGGACAGCACACCAUAAAGAGGGACAGAGGAAGUAUGGGAGACUUUCCUCUGAAUGAAGAUCCGGACGUUUGAUCAACGGAAGGGCUAUCACGUGAGACAUACUCUGCAGUGGUUACCUGCUCCUCCUAUUUUCACUUACACUGACGUUCAGAACACAGUGAAAAGCUCAACAUUCUGGCCCUGAAUUCAAACUCUGAUCAUCUGGAUGAGUUCUGGAGGACGGAGCCUCCCAAGUGUCAUCACGAUGGCUGGAGGGCCUCCGACAGUGAGCAGCGGGCUUAGAGGGCCACUCAGCCAUCAGAAAUAAAUGGCAUUUUAUAUUUAUGAAAUUUAUGUUCUUGAAAGUGGUAAAACUGUCAAACCAUGACAUAUCAGUUAAAAUAGAGUUCUUGUGA
Mustela lutreola (European mink) is the source of this 7868-nucleotide long non-coding RNA. RefSeq lists it as uncharacterized. The transcript is spliced from 2 exons. The record is from RefSeq and is a predicted model, not a curated record. NCBI's taxonomy places the organism in Eukaryota, Metazoa, Chordata, Mammalia, Carnivora, Mustelidae.